RNAcentral lists this long non-coding RNA (369 nucleotides) under Olea europaea subsp. europaea. Lineage: Eukaryota; Viridiplantae; Streptophyta; Magnoliopsida; Lamiales; Oleaceae. The record is from RNAcentral.
ACUCUCUGGAUUCUGAGGUGGGUCCUCCGUUGAUAAUUAAAUCUCUUUGUAGAUAUUACCAAUGACUUGAAAGAAGGUCGAAUAUGCACGUGGCUACUUAGUAUUAUUCUAUUGUUCAAGUUGCAAUUGAACAGUAUACUGUUGUCUAUAUUAUUGCGAAAUGGCAUUGUCUUACAUUGUUUUCCACGAUGAAGGAAACUGCGGAUGCUUCUGUAGAGUCGCUCACAAGCUAUCCGUGCAUUGCAAGUCCUACAGUCUACUCACCACCUCCUGCAGCCUCCCUCAAUUCCUUUAUGGGCGAGAUUGGAACCGGAUUCCUUCAAAGAAGUGGAUCAGCUUUUCUGAAAAAAUCAUACACGAGUGAUGAUG